This 5389-nucleotide long non-coding RNA is filed under the name Sus scrofa (pig). RNAcentral's name for it is "lncRNA (ENSSSCG00000058413.1)". Lineage: Eukaryota; Metazoa; Chordata; Mammalia; Artiodactyla; Suidae. The record is from RNAcentral.
GUUUUAGCCAGGGUAUUGAUUAUUUUACAUUUGUCGAUAUCUUAGGGAAAGUAGGAAAGUGUAAUCUUUAUCAUUGAUUUGCUUCUAAUUAAGGGUGAAAACUGCUGAAUCAAAGCGCAAAGAGAGCUGCUGUCUUUGCAAAACUGAUUCACAAACCCCAGAUAUGAACUUCUAGUGCUCCUGGAAUAGUGAUUUAACCAGUUCUUCUUAAAACGUAUUUUGUCUUUAAUACUGUUAAUCAUUUUUGUCUGCUUCCUUAGAAAAAACAGAUUUGUGACUGAUUAGAUCAUUUUUUUGAGCAAUGAUAUCAGAGAAAUAGUUUUUUACUUCAUUUUUUAUAUUUUCUCUUGUAUUUAUGCUCAUACGGACACUUUUCUGAUAAAGAUCACAGGGUUUAGAAUGACAUUUGAAGUCAGAAAGAUAUUCUUGAUAUUUAUGACCCAUGUAACCUUGAGCAAGUAAAUAAUCCUCAAAAAGCCUUAUAUAUGGACAGGGGUCACCCUAUCUACCUCAAAGGAGUGUAAUGAGGAUAAGUGAGAAAAUACUCAAAAAGCGUAAAAAUAGAUUGCACAUAUGGAGGUCUUACCACUACUAAAAAAGGACCACAGUCUCUGGUAGAAAUUCUUGGUGUCAGACAUUUCAGAUUUCAGAACUUAAAGUUUAGAAAGAUAAUAUCGAGCACAGAUUCCAUAUUACAUAGCACCGAUGUAUUAAUAAUCCAAUAAUUUAUUGCAUAUUUAAGACAGUUAAAAAAUACGACGAUUGAGGAGUUCCUGUCGUGGCGCAGUGGAAAGGAAUCUGACUAGGAACUAUGAGGUUGCAGGUUCGAUUCUUGGCCUCGCUCAGUGGGUUAAGCAUCUGGGGUUGCCGUGAGCUGUGAUGUAGGUCGCAGACGUGGCUCGGAUCUGGUGUUGCUGUGGCUCUGGUGUAGACAGGCAGCAACAGCUCCAAUUAGACCCCUAGCCUGGGAACCUCCGUAUGCCGGGAGUGUGGCCCUCAAAAGACAAAAUAAAUAGAUAAAACUACUACAAUUGACUUACAUCCUUUCAAGUCAGGUCCUGCCACACAGUGAGUGUAGGUGAGUUUUGCAUUACCAAGAUGUAAUAAUGUAUUACUAUAAGAUUUGGGAUUUUAGAAUGGAAGUUUAUCAUGUGCAUGUCAUAGAAGGUAGUAUAUUUUAAAUGCCUCACAAACAUCUGGCUCUGCCAUAGGUGCAUAUUAAAUGCUCAUCCCAUCUUGGCCUUUGUUUUUUUUCUCUCCCUAAUGUGUAGCCCAUUUCUAGCUUCCCCAGUGAGGUGAGAGUCUCUCUCUCAGGCUCGCUAUAGCAAAGCUUCUGUUCCAGCACAAGUUCACAUGGGGCCUUGGACUUCCAAACUGCUUUUACUCUACCAGAUUUUUCUCUUUUCCUAAAUAGUCUCAUCUUUCUCCCUCAUCUUCCAUUUCCCUCUUGCUUUGAAUUUUCUACUUCCUGACAUGUGGUUAUUUACAGUGUCUCUGUCAAUCGGGUCAAUGGAAUGAGUCUAAUUCACUAGGAAUGUUUCCUAUCAAAUUUUUUUUUUUUUCCAAAGGCUGCCAUCAUUUUUAUCCUUUUCCUGAGUGAAUAAUGAGUGUGGAAUAAGGUGAAGGUGGUUUUGGUGCAAAUAACACACACAUGUGUAUAUGUGUAAGUAUGUAUGUAUAUAUAAAUAUAUGUGUCUGGGUAUUGAUACACACAUAUAUGUGUGUAUACAGAUAGAUACACAUUAUGUAUACACACACACACACACACACACACACACACACACAUUUUCCCCCUGCAGGGAUACAGACCUAAGGCAAGACUAAGAUGUGUCUUUCUGACCUAUAUUCACUGGAAAGCCAUGGGUGCCUCAGUGAUUAGGCAGCAAUUAGCCUGUGAUUCAGGCAGACGAAGAGCUACCUCCCAUGCCUUUAAAAUCUCCUUCCUUGAAGGACAACUCAUAAAAAACACUUAGUGGAUAUUUAAAACAGUUUCGGCAUCAUAAUAGGCUCUAUUCUGGGUCACUUUGCACACCCAAAUUGUUUUUUGGAGGCUAUUAACAGUGUCAUGCUGAGCAAUUUAAUAAACACAAUCAGUGGUAAAGCCUGUUACUUUCGUAUUACUGGUUUGAAAAAUCAUCCUCAUAUAUAUCCGCGCAUGGUUAUACGCCUGCUCACUUAACCAGGGAGUCUUGAAGAAUAACUUCUGCAUGUAUGAUAAGGAUCUUUUAUUCGUGGGUGACAGAGCCUAUUUUGCAGCUUCUGUGCACACUCAAAUUGUUCUUGAGGAGCAAUUCAGGCAUCAUUUGUGUGGGCCUCCCACACUCAGAAUAGGUUAAUAGGCAAUGUCACCUUCACUGGGCUAUUCUUUGGCUAGAGACCAUUAAGGGAAAUAGCUGUUUCAGUGAGUGGCAUAUUAAAGUUCUAGCCCAGAGCUCUGUCUGCCCUGGUUCCAAUAUAUGUGAUCGUGGCUCGUGAGGAGGCUGCAUUUGUACCAUCUCGUGGAUGUAAAUGCCAGCGAAUCUACCCAUAAAGCUGAAGCAUGAGAAACGUGGGGGCCUGAGGUGAUCCAAAAGAAGCUGAAAGAGAAUUUUGACCCUUCACUUAAACUUCCUCUUCUCUAAGCACCUCAGUCCACCAGCCACCCAUUUCCUGCUGGUUCUCCCAUCUUCAUAUCUACCAGCCUUUAUGCUUCUGUUAGCUCUCUGGCCACUCUUACUCAUCAGUUUAUUAGUUCAAGCCUGGAGUCUUGCCUCUUGAGCUAAUUUAUCUGCCCUCUGUUUAUUAUUUUUCUCAAUAUCUGUGCAGAUGAAACAUUAUUUUAGAGUUAAGUGUUAAGGAAACCUUUACUUCUUCCCAAGGAGCUGGUAUUUUUACUGCAAGUAGAAGAUAAGAAUGAUAGGAGUUCCCUGGCGGCCUACCUAGUAGUACAGGAUUCAGCAUUGUCACUGCUGUGGUUGGGGCUUGACCUCUGGCCCGUGAAUUUCCACAUGCCUCAUGUGGCCCCCCCCAAAAAAAAAAAAAAAAAGACAAAAGAAAAAAGAGGAAGGAUAAAAUGAGCCAUGGUUCCCUUUAAAUUUUGGCUGCCUGGAAGCUCAGAGCCAAAGCUCAGGUUAAUCACAAGUCUUAAAACUUGCUUAAAGUAAAUAUAUUUUGCUUUGUAAAUUUAUCACUCAAGUCUAGAGCUCACAUUUUAAACAUAGACUUUUCCAGGCCUCAGUGUUUUAUUUUAACGUGUUUGCCUUGCCCUCCUUUUUGACUCCAGUUGAACAGAACUGGAUUAAUCAUAAUCUUUGGUUCAUAUUAUUCUUACAUUUUCUUUUUAAAUUUUUUUUAUUGCAAGUGAUCCUGUAGUACAAUGAACUCUUUGUAGCAUGAGGCGAGGUAUAAAUAAAUUAUGAGUACAUAAGCAUUAACUUUGCAUUGGGAAGCAAAACGAACAUAGAAGCAGGACCAAGAGGAAAGAGAUCUAAAUGAUUCUGCAUGACAAACUAGGCUGGGGAUAAGGUGGCGUUUUCUGGGAACAGGGAAAACAAAGAAAAUGGAAAAGAUAGAAAAAAAAUUAUAUUUAUCAAAUUCUCUGUGGUGUCAAUGCCAUGGUUCUGUAGGACAGUGAAAUCUUGUAUUCAGUGUAAGAGUUGUCUGUUUAAAUAAUUCCCCUCUGCCAAAGCAAACCUUUAGUAAAUUCCUCUAUCUCCAUAUCUUGGAAUUAAUAGUACAUGGAUGGAAAUGUGGUUUCCACAGUGUGAGUUUACAAGCAAUUGAGACAACCUGGCAGGACUAAGAAAAAAAGUUAGAAUUAUUAAAAAAUAAAAACAUGAGGGUGUUCCCAUCGUGGCACAGUGGAAACAAAUCUGACGAGUAUCCAUGAGGAUGUGAGUUCGAUCCCUGGCCUCACUCAGUGGGUUAAGGAUCUGGCAUUGCCAUGGGCCGUGGUGUAGGUCGCAGACUUGGCUCAGAUUCUGAGCUGCUGUGGCUUUGGUACAGGCCGGCAGCCAUGCUCCGAUUCGACCCCUAGCCUGGGAACCUCCAUAAGGCUUGAGGUAGUUCUCUUUUCCUUCCUAUUUUUUUGCCUCUUUUCCCCUCUCCUCCAUUCCUCUUGUCCUUCCCUUCCUCUCUCCUUCCUUCCUUCUCUCCUCCCCUGUUACCUCCCUUCCUUGGCUCUCUUCUAGGGGCCAAUGAACCUGCUAAGCAUUCAACCUGCAGGAGUAAGGAAGAGAUGUGGGUGAGCUUACACGUCAGUAAAGACCAUAACAUAAAACUUAAAAAUAAAAUGAGACGUUCUCCUGUGGCACAGUGGGUUAAGGAUCAAGCAUUGUCACGGCAGCAGCUUGGGUCGUUGCCUUGGGGUGGGUUGAUCCCUGGUCUAGGAACUUCCACAUGCCACAGGCAUUCCCCCCAUCCCCUCCACAAGAAGCCAAAAAAAAAAAAGAGUAUGGUUUAUGAUGAGUGCUCUAAUGAAAAUAACCAAGGUAUACAGUGAGAGUAUGGAAGAGGGGUGGAGUAGGUAGGGGUUAUUUUUGUUAGGGAGCAUAUUUCUUAAGCCACAUGAAUUGGUAACUGAAGCCAUGAAAAGCUCCCUCAAAAGCUGGAGGAAUUGAGGGCAUCAAAUCUCAUUUCAGUAUUUAUUCUCGUUGUAUGGUAUUAAAAUUGGAUAUAGGAAGGAAGGCAAAUGCAUUUCUGAUUGUGUACUUUCUCCUUGGGCCUUCAUUGCCAUAUAUUCCUAUUUAGCUCUUCAAAAUUUGAUGCCUAUUUGAAUUUUCGGAAAAAUAUAUUUUUUUACAUCUUCAAAGCAGCCAAUUGUCCAUGUUCCAAAUAAAUUGAAUCUGUUGUCCUCAUGCCAUGCUAAGAAGUUUGCAGGAAUCAAUCAUAUCACAGAUUGCGUGUAUGGAUUUUUGGUCUCUGGACUCUCAUUUUCCUUCAACUGUGCUUUUCUUCAACAUAUAAAUCUAGUGUUUUUCAAUAACAUUUAUUCCCAAGAAAUAUUUUAAUAUUUCCAAAUGAAGGGUUUGAGCCGAAUUUCUAAUUUUAUAUUAGAACACAUUACAUUAGUCUUGCCAUGAGUAAGACUGUUUUGAGGACAGUUUCCGGUCAUUUUGGUGAGCUAACCUAGGAGUGACUUUCAUGUCUCUAGUUACCUUCUUGAAUUUCACACUCAUGUUUAUCAUUACCAGAGAAACAACAGAGGAGGAGGGCUAGAAUUCAAGGUUUAGUUAUAGACCAUUUAGGACUGAGUUUUUGUAAAUGAUGUAAUCAUAAUAAUUAUAGUAACAAUUCCUAUCUUCUUAUCAUUCAGGCAUAGAUUUAUUUUAUUUUUCCCAAUCAAUUUUAUAAGAUUAGGAUUAUUGGCCCUCUUUAUAUGAAAUGAAGAAACUGAGACUUAAGAAAAAUU